This 444-nucleotide ribosomal RNA is filed under the name uncultured Bacillota bacterium. RNAcentral describes it as "bacterial SSU rRNA". It matches the Rfam family "Bacterial small subunit ribosomal RNA", at positions 338 to 795 of the family's 1533-position model. The record is from RNAcentral. Lineage: Bacteria; Bacillati; Bacillota.
CCUACGGGGGGCUGCAGUGGGGAAUAUUGCGCAAUGGAGAAGAACUCUGACGCAGCAAUACCGCGUGAGCGAAGAAGGUCUUCGGAUCGUAAAGCUCUGUUAUCAGGGAAGAAGAAAAUGACGGUACCUGAUGAGCAAGUCCCGGCUAACUACGUGCCAGCAGCCGCGGUAAUACGUAGGGGACAAGCGUUGUCCGGAAUCACUGGGCGUAAAGGGCGCGCAGGCGGUGAUUUAAGCAGGAUGUGAAAGGCUACGGCUCAACCGUAGACAUGCACCCUGAACUGGGUCACUUGAGUAUUGGAGAGGCAGGCAGAAUUCCUGGUGUAGCGGUGAAAUGCGUAGAUAUCAGGAGGAAUACCGGUGGCGAAGGCGGCCUGCUGGACAAAUACUGACGCUGAGGCGCGAAAGCGUGGGGAGCAAACAGGCUUAGAUACCCCGGUAGUC